GACGAACGCUGGCGGCGUGCUUAACACAUGCAAGUCGAACGGAAAGGCCCUGCUUUUGUGGGGUGCUCGAGUGGCGAACGGGUGAGUAACACGCGAGUAACCUGCCCUUGACUUUGGGAUAACUUCAGGAAACUGGGGCUCAUACCGGAUAGGAGCUCCUGCUGCAUGGUGGGGGUUGGUAAGUUUCGGCGGUUGGGGAUGGACUCGCGGCUUAUCCGCUUGUUGGUGGGGUAGUGGCUUACCAAGGCUUUGACGGGUAGCCGGCCUGAGAGGGUGACCGGCGACAUUGGGACUAAGAUACGGCCCAGACGCCUACGGGAGGCAGCAGUGGGGAAUAUUGCACAGUGGGCGGAAGCCUGAUGCAGCAACGCCGCGUGCGGGAUGACGGCCUUCGGGUUGUAAACCACUUUCGCCUGUGACGAAGCGUGAGUGACGGUAAUGGGUAAAGAAGCACCGGCUAACUACGUG
This 468-nucleotide ribosomal RNA is filed under the name uncultured bacterium. Its description in RNAcentral is "partial 16S ribosomal RNA". It matches the Rfam family "Bacterial small subunit ribosomal RNA", at positions 28 to 507 of the family's 1533-position model. The record is from RNAcentral.